AGUAACACGUGGGUAUCUGCCUAUUAGUGGGGGACAGCUUGGAGAAAUCCAAGCUAAUACCGCAUAAUCUCUACGGAGGAAAGCGGGGGAUCUUCGGACCUCGCGCUGAUAGAUGGGCCCGCGUCUGAUUAGCUAGUUGGUAAGGUAAUGGCUUACCAAGGCGACGAUCCUUAGCUGGUUUGAGAGAAUGAUCAGCCACACUGGGACUGAGACACGGCCCAG
Molecule: ribosomal RNA, 222 nt
Filed under: uncultured bacterium
Lineage: Bacteria
Description: partial 16S ribosomal RNA
Rfam family: Bacterial small subunit ribosomal RNA
Source: RNAcentral